GGCACUAUGGCGGAGUGGUUAACGCGCUGCCCUGCUAAGGCAGUUCCUUCGGGAGCAAGAGUUCGAAUCUCUUUGGUGUCG
RNAcentral lists this transfer RNA (81 nucleotides) under Xylaria castorea. RNAcentral describes it as "tRNA-Ser". It matches the Rfam family "tRNA". Rfam says of the family: Transfer RNA (tRNA) molecules are approximately 80 nucleotides in length. Lineage: Eukaryota; Fungi; Ascomycota; Sordariomycetes; Xylariales; Xylariaceae. The record is from RNAcentral.